Molecule: long non-coding RNA, 245 nt
Filed under: Theobroma cacao (cacao)
Lineage: Eukaryota; Viridiplantae; Streptophyta; Magnoliopsida; Malvales; Malvaceae
Description: long non-coding RNA (TCAC_LNC005421)
Source: RNAcentral
GUUGCAAUUUCAUCAUUCUUUCAAUCAAUCACAUCGUUAGUCCAUGUAAUUGCAUCCUUACUCUAGCAAUUACUUUAUUCUUCCUUCCAUACCAUCUCCAUUUUUCAUUUUCUACUUUCUCAUUCUUGCAAUCCUCAUGCAUACUUUUCCUUUCAAUUUAGUAUGCUAAAGGUGAAAUUGAAUUUAUUGACUCCAAAAUAUCAUCAUCAUUAUUCUUUUAAGCCUAUAACAACAAUGAAAAUUUG